Molecule: long non-coding RNA, 488 nt
Filed under: Gallus gallus (chicken)
Lineage: Eukaryota; Metazoa; Chordata; Aves; Galliformes; Phasianidae
Description: lncRNA (ENSGALG00010015530.1)
Source: RNAcentral
GAUUCUUUCCUGCCUGAGGUCUUUCAAAGAGCAAUACUACAAAGAGGGCGAGAGUGCAGCACAAGCCCAGCAGUGAAGUAGCUGGACAUUUUCUGGACAACAGCACCCACAAAACCUUAUUCAGCUACUUUCAAGUUUAUAGUGAUUGCGAGGUAAAGAAGACAACAGGAGAGAUGGAAAAACAGCGGUCUUACCACUGCAGCUCUGUGCAUUAAUUGCUGCAGGAGGAUAUGCAAAGGGAGCAAGGACAGAUAUUCUGGUGCCUAGGAUGAUUACAGUACUGAAGAGAAAUGAAAGAAAUACAUGAUCUGGUUUAGAAAAUGGAGAUGUACAGCUCUCAAUCCCUAUCCACUCAAGCUCUGUGUUACAUCUGGGAAGCUUCUGAAACAUUUGUGGAUCAAAGUUUAAAUGGGGGUUUGUGUCAUGAAUUCUUAUGCACUGGAAGGAGAAUAAUCUGUCCAAAAAGACAUCUGAAGAGACAACUGAGG